AGCGAACGCUGGCGGCAGGCUUAACACAUGCAAGUCGAGCGGGCACUUUCGGGUGUCAGCGGCGGACGGGUGAGUAACGCGUGGGAACGUGCCCUCUGGUUCGGAAUAACUCAGGGAAACUUCAGCUAAUACCGGAUACGCCCUUUUGGGGAAAGGCUUGCUGCCGGAGGAUCGGCCCGCGUCUGAUUAGCUAGUUGGUGAGGUAACGGCUCACCAAGGCGACGAUCAGUAGCUGGUCUGAGAGGAUGAUCAGCCACACUGGGACUGAGACACGGCCCAGACUCCUACGGGAGGCAGCAGUGGGGAAUAUUGGACAAUGGGCGCAAGCCUGAUCCAGCCAUGCCGCGUGAGUGAUGAAGGCCUUAGGGUUGUAAAGCUCUUUUAUCCGGGACGAUAAUGACGGUACCGGAGGAAUAAGCCCCGGCUAACUUCGUG
This 435-nucleotide ribosomal RNA is filed under the name uncultured bacterium. Its description in RNAcentral is "partial 16S ribosomal RNA". It matches the Rfam family "Bacterial small subunit ribosomal RNA", at positions 29 to 507 of the family's 1533-position model. The record is from RNAcentral.